UCAGAGCAGCGUGCAAUGUCUGUGUCCUCAUGAAAAGUGUCCGUGGGGACAUGUGCAAUCAGGUCUCUGCAGCUGACCAAAAAAAGGUACAACAGGACCUUGGAGAGUGGACGUGUCCCUGCUGUCAUCCACGUGCAGGAGCUGACCUCCUGGCAGACAGCAAUGCACCGUUGACAAAACCUUGAACAGACCUGGGUCCUCAGCCCGGCAACACCUGGCGUGUCAAGAUGCCUGUACCAGGGAUGAGGGAAUAAAAAUGUGAUGCAUUAGAGGAAUGUCAGAGACUGGCUAAAGAAACCUUGAAGUGCCAUUGUCACACGCUUGUGCUCCGCAAGGGUACACGCGGACAUGACUCCUUUCCGGGAAAACGAUCACCUUCUGUGUUUUCAUGAGAAGAGCACGCCUUCUUGGGAGGAAAUUCUGCUCUGCCUACAGCCUGACGUCUUCAUGCUACGUUGACCUUUGCAUAUGGAACUGAAAAUGAAAAGGAAAUUGAAAUCCGAGGGGGGGAGAUGGCGUGAUGGU
Molecule: long non-coding RNA, 525 nt
Organism: Tupaia belangeri chinensis (Chinese tree shrew)
Lineage: Eukaryota; Metazoa; Chordata; Mammalia; Scandentia; Tupaiidae
Exons: 3
Source: RefSeq, a predicted model, not a curated record